UACGAAGGGGGCUAGCGUUGCUCGGAAUCACUGGGCGUAAAGCGUACGUAGGCGGAUUGUUAAGUCAGGGGUGAAAUCCCGAGGCUCAACCUCGGAACUGCCUUUGAUACUGGCUGUCUUGAGUCCGGGAGAGGUGAGUGGAACUCCUAGUGUAGAGGUGAAAUUCGUAGAUAUUAGGAAGAACACCAGUGGCGAAGGCGGCGACCUGGACAGAUAUUGACGCUGAGGUGCGAAAGCGUGGGGAGCAAACAGG
This 253-nucleotide ribosomal RNA is filed under the name uncultured bacterium. Its description in RNAcentral is "partial 16S ribosomal RNA". It matches the Rfam family "Bacterial small subunit ribosomal RNA", at positions 524 to 776 of the family's 1533-position model. The record is from RNAcentral.